CGAAGUUGGAUUCGCUAGUAAUCGCGCAUCAGCCAUGGCGCGGUGAAUACGUUCCCGGGCCUUGUACACACCGCCCGUCAAGCCAUGGGAGCCGGGGGCGCCUGAAGUCCGGGACCGNGAGGACCGGCCUAAGGCGAAACUGGUGACUGGGGCUAAGUCGUAACAAGGUAAC
Molecule: ribosomal RNA, 172 nt
Filed under: uncultured bacterium
Lineage: Bacteria
Description: partial 16S ribosomal RNA
Rfam family: Bacterial small subunit ribosomal RNA
Source: RNAcentral